Non-coding RNA from Vicia faba (fava bean), 348 nucleotides. The record is from the annotation of a GenBank genome assembly. Lineage: Eukaryota; Viridiplantae; Streptophyta; Magnoliopsida; Fabales; Fabaceae.
AUGGACUCAAGGCCCAAAGGAAAUAAAAAAAAAUCAAGCUCUCUAAUUCAUUUGUUUCAAAACAAACACAUCCUAUCUCUUAGUCACAGAAGUAAAAAGAAACAAUACAACAACAUUCAAAACCAAUUCACGAAAAAGGGGAACGAGAUUACCAAAUGGAGCCGACGGAGAAACCUUGGACGAAAGGAGGGUGCGAAGACGAUUUUGAGGAGCGGUCGUCGGCAUGAUGCUGAUGCUGUUGCAAUCGCGAUUGCUGAUCGGACGCACGUGUGUGGCUCUGGGUUCCCUGAAGGGGUCCAGUUCGGUUUUAUGCGGUCUGGUGAUGAAGUUGUAGAUGUUGUUGUUUAG